UUAUCUAUAAAUACCCACCUCUUCCCCAUUCAGAUCCUCGUAGUUCUAACUUUUUGGUUUCUUCCGUUUUAGGUUUUUAGGUAUAAGAUCCGUAUUGGGGAAGAUCUUCGUGUUGGGCUUUGUGCCUUGUGGUGCGACUCCGAUCAUCUUCCUUGUGAAAUCCGGGUUCUUUUCUCCUAAUUAUUUUGUCCGUUAACUGAAAGGGAAGGUUUUUUUUUCGUUAUAGAUUUCUUCCAAUACUUCGGUGAUGGUUUUAUGUUUCUUGCGCAUCCGUUCCAAUUCUGCGGAGAAGAGCGACGGUUUCAUAGCCGUUCGGAUUUAUAUUAUGCUUUUGGAUUGUGCUUUUAUUGAGGAUUGGUUUCGAGAUUCUUGAAUUUUUGAAAGGAUGUGGUAUUCUUUGCGUUAGGUUUUUUGUUGCAUCGCCGAUCAUCUUUGAUGUGAAAUCCAGGCUUUUUCUUCUGAUUGCGUUGUCCUUUGGCUGAAAGGGAAGAAUUUUCUUUCCCGUUAAAGAGUUUGUGACUUGGUUAUAGCUGCUGAGGGAAAAUCGUUUUAUGGCAUUCAUUCUUGGUUUAUAUAGAGGGAAAACCAGAAACCAGGUUUUUGGUUUAUUCAUCUUUAUCUUGGUUAGGGAAGUCAAUGAGUUCUGAUUUCUUAUGUGUCCAAUCAAGUUUAGUACUGGUCCAAAGCUUUCACAGUUCUGGACACAUUUCAGCACCAAGUUACCUAUGGGUAUAUAUAUAUAUAUAUAUAUAUAUAUAUAUAUAUAUCCUUCUGAUUAUCGCUUGUGUUUUUCCGAUACGGAAGUCUCGAUCAAGUGCACUCGAAAUACUAAGGAAUCUGACGAGCAAGGUGUUUGAAACUAUGUUCCUGAUAGGUCCAUGAGACAUUGAAUUCGUCAUGGUUAUUCUUGUGAUUUGAGCAACAGAGUUUAUUCUUAUAUUUCUUUUUCCUUCAAAAUGCGUAGGAGCUACAGAAGCAAGGGGAACUAUUAUUUGUUCCUAUCCUCAUAUCACAUUUGCUUGGGCAUUUUAACGUUUGAGAUCAGAGGGCCUUGUUUAUCGUCUGGAUUGCACGAUCCCAUAGAAGCAAGGCACCGGUUAUUUUUUCUGCUCUCACUUGUCGCAUAUAAGUCUAGUCAUAUUUUCCCCCUCGACCGCAAACCUGUUUAGUAUAUGGUGUAUCUCGUAGAAUUUGGAGUCGUGCUACAACUUCUACUGCAGUUGGUUCCAGCUAUGAUUUCUUGUCCUGAUCAAUAUGGUGCCUUCUACAGGAUUAAAACUACACUAUGGUUUGACUUGCUUGGAAACCAUAAGCGCAAAUAAGUUCCUCUUAAGUGCCUGCAGAAACAAGAAAACUGUUAUUUUUCCUUCUCUUUAUUCCACUUUUGCUGAGAUGUCACAAUGAUGUUCCUUAUUUGAUUUAUUUACGGUUGGUGCUUCACAACUUUUUCCCUUCGAGCAAUGUUUGUUCGGCCAGAUCAAUUUGGUUUUCUUUAUACAGGAAUACAAAUACAUAUCUGUCCUUAACUUUC
Molecule: long non-coding RNA, 1531 nt
Organism: Juglans microcarpa x Juglans regia
Lineage: Eukaryota; Viridiplantae; Streptophyta; Magnoliopsida; Fagales; Juglandaceae
Exons: 3
Source: RefSeq, a predicted model, not a curated record